UACGUAGGGAGCAAGCGUUGUCCGGAAUCAUUGGGCGUAAAGCGCGCGUAGGCGGCCCUGUAAGUCCGCUGUGAAAGUCAAAGGCUCAACCUUUGAAAGCCGGUGGAUACUGCAGGGCUAGAGUCCGGAAGAGGCGAGUGGAAUUCCUGGUGUAGCGGUGGAAUGCGCAGAUAUCAGGAGGAACACCGGUGGCGAAGGCGGGUCUCUGGGCCGUAACUGACGCUGAGGAGCGAAAGCGUGGGGAGCGAACAGG
RNAcentral lists this ribosomal RNA (253 nucleotides) under uncultured bacterium. Its description in RNAcentral is "partial 16S ribosomal RNA". It matches the Rfam family "Bacterial small subunit ribosomal RNA", at positions 524 to 776 of the family's 1533-position model. The record is from RNAcentral.